GCCAGCUCACUUCCGUGCUAAGUCGCCCACGCCUCUCCCUCUCCCUCUCGUGCGUGUGCCGAGCCAUGGCUGCCACGGCCACGAGCCGAGCUCGCCCCUGCUGGAGCCCCAUGUCCCCCAAACCCUAGCCCCCUUCCUCCAUUGCCGCCGCCACCCCAAGCUCCGCUUGCCGCCGGCCGCUGUCGAUUGCCUCCUCCGGUGCCCCGCUGGAGCUCUCCCAUCGGCGCCACCUGUCCUUGUUGCGCCGCCCCCUCCGCCGCCGUUCCUACAGUCUGUGUCGCCGGUGAGGUUCGCCGGCUACUCCCCUCCCUUGUGCGUGUGCCUGUGAUCCUAACGCUCCUCUACUUGUGCCGCUACGCUGAAGCACGGCCGCUUGCUGGUCACCUGCGUGCGUGUUCUGUGGAGAAGAGAAGAUGAACAUGACUGAACCGUCGGAGAAUGAACCCGUUGAGCCUGCCGAGUCCGUCGAGCCUGAACUCGGAGUCCAGUUUGUGGUCGAGCCC
This is a long non-coding RNA of Panicum virgatum (switchgrass), 503 nucleotides long. RefSeq lists it as uncharacterized. The record is from RefSeq and is a predicted model, not a curated record. Lineage: Eukaryota; Viridiplantae; Streptophyta; Magnoliopsida; Poales; Poaceae. The transcript is spliced from 3 exons.